AAAUAUUAGUUUAAUUAAAAAUAAGAUUUUUCUAAAAUCAAGAUUUCAAAAAGAAAUAUUUUAG
RNAcentral lists this transfer RNA (64 nucleotides) under Didemnum vexillum. RNAcentral describes it as "tRNA-Gly". Lineage: Eukaryota; Metazoa; Chordata; Ascidiacea; Aplousobranchia; Didemnidae. The record is from RNAcentral.